Molecule: ribosomal RNA, 497 nt
Filed under: uncultured bacterium
Lineage: Bacteria
Description: partial 16S ribosomal RNA
Rfam family: Bacterial small subunit ribosomal RNA
Source: RNAcentral
GACGAACGCUGGCGGCGUGCCUAAUACAUGCAAGUUGAACGCUGAAGGUUGGUACUUGUAUUAACUGGAUGAGCAGCGAACGGGUGAGUAGCGCGUGGGGCAUCUUUGUUUUUGCGGGGUACAACAUAUGGAAACGAAUACUAAUAACGUAUAAAAACAUUAAACAUAAGGUUUAAGUUAUAUUUAUGCUAUUGCAUCUAUCAAAGAUGCUCUCGCUUUGUAUUAGCUAGUUGGUGAGGUAAAGGCUCAGCAAGGCGAUGAUACAUAGCCGACCUGAGAGGGUGAUAGGCCACAUUGGGACUGAGACACGGCCCAGACUCCUACGGGAGGCAGCAGUAGGGAAUCUUCGGCAAUGGACGAAAGUCUGACCGAGCAACGCCGCGUGAGUGACGAAGGUGUUCGGAUCGUAAAACUCUGUUGGUAGAGAAGAACGUUGGUGAGAGUGGAAAGCUCAUAAUGUGACGGUAACUAGCCAGAAAGGGACGGCUAACUACGUG